CAGCCGCCACGGUAAUACGUAGGGUGCAGGCGUUAAUCGGAAUUACUGGGCGUAAAGCGUGCGCAGGCGGUUUGUUAAGACAGAUGUGAAAUCCCCGGGCUCAACCUGGGAACUGCAUUUGUGACUGGCAAGCUAGAGUAUGGCAGAGGGGGGUGGAAUUCCGCGUGUAGCAGUGAAAUGCGUAGAUAUGCGGAGGAACACCGAUGGCGAAGGCAGCCCCCUGGGCCAAUACUGACGCUCAUGCACGAAAGCGUGGGGAGCAAACAGGAUUAGAUACCCCGGUAGUCCCUGUCUCUUAUAC
Molecule: ribosomal RNA, 301 nt
Filed under: uncultured bacterium
Lineage: Bacteria
Description: partial 16S ribosomal RNA
Rfam family: Bacterial small subunit ribosomal RNA
Source: RNAcentral